UACGUAUGGUGCGAACGUUGUUCGGAAUCACUGGGCAUAAAGAGCACGUAGGCGGUUAAGCAAGUCCAUUGUGAAAUCCCCCGGCCUAACCGGGGAACUGCAUUGGAUACUACUUGACUUGAGUGCAGGAGGGGAGAGUGGAAUUCCAGGUGGAGCGGUGAAAUGCGUAGAUAUCUGGAGGAACACCGGUGGCGAAGGCGGGUCUCUGGGCUGACACUGACGCUCAUGCACGAAAGCGUGGGGAGCAAACAGG
Molecule: ribosomal RNA, 253 nt
Filed under: uncultured bacterium
Lineage: Bacteria
Description: partial 16S ribosomal RNA
Rfam family: Bacterial small subunit ribosomal RNA
Source: RNAcentral